Molecule: long non-coding RNA, 541 nt
Organism: Homo sapiens (human)
Lineage: Eukaryota; Metazoa; Chordata; Mammalia; Primates; Hominidae
Gene: TBC1D26-AS1
Product: TBC1D26 antisense RNA 1
Source: Ensembl
GGAGUUUAUGGAAUUAUUGAAGGAAAGCCGCGCCAGUGCCAAGAGAUCAUGGCCCAGAGCUGGCAGAACUGAUCAGACCAAUGCUGAGCAAAAGGCCUGAAGAAGACCAUCUGGAGGAGCAUCCCGAGGGCCUUCCCCAAAGCACCAGAUCGCCUUCCUUUCCGAGGCCACAAAGGCGAGAACUUCCAGAAAUAGCAUGAAACACGGUGGCUUGGUGACAUCCAAGCCUGCUGCCACCGUGGUUUCCGGGAAGGCAGAAUCAAGGCAUGAAGUAAUCCACGCCAACCACGCUCCUCUGAGGGCUGAGCAAGACAUCGAUAGUGGGUGAAGGCAAGUGUUUGUCCCAGGAGAGGCCCAGGGUGGUUGGUCCCUUGAAGUCACCCGCCAGUCUGAAGGCCCAGGGGACUUGAGCAAUACCAAGAACUGGCCACGGUCCUGCAACAGCCCAAGGGCUGCCUGCCGGACAUAAGGGGUGGCUGGGUCCUCCAUGUGGGCAGCUCAUGCAGUCAGCUCAGCAGCUCUCCCUGCCUGGAAUGGUCUG